CUGAUGCAGCGACGCCGCGUGAGGGAUGAAGGCCUUCGGGUUGUAAACCUCUUUCAGCAGGGACGAAGCGAAAGUGACGGUACCUGCAGAAGAAGCACCGGCUAACUACGUGCCAGCAGCCGCGGUAAUACGUAGGGUGCGAGCGUUGUCCGGAAUUACUGGGCGUAAAGAGUUCGUAGGCGGUUUGUCACGUCGUCUGUGAAAACCCAUCGCUCAACGAUGGGCCUGCAGGCGAUACGGGCAGACUUGAGUACUGCAGGGGAGACUGGAAUUCCUGGUGUAGCGGUGAAAUGCGCAGAUAUCAGGAGGAACACCGGUGGCGAAGGCGGGUCUCUGGGCAGUAACUGACGCUGAGGAACGAAAGCGUGGGUAGCAAACAGGAUUAGAUACCCUGGUAGUCCACGCCGUAAACGGUGGGCGCUAGGUGUGGGUUCCUUCCACGGGAUCUGUGCCGUAGCUAACGCAUUAAGCGCCCCGCCUGGGGAGUACGGCCGCAAGGCUAAAACUCAAAGGAAUUGACGGGGGCCCGCACAAGCGGCGGAGCAUGUGGAUUAAUUCGAUGCAACGCGAAGAACCUUACCUGGGUUUGACAUAUACUGGAAAGCUGCAGAGAUGUAGCCCCCCUUGUGGCCGG
RNAcentral lists this ribosomal RNA (634 nucleotides) under Rhodococcus sp. So1Ps_697. Its description in RNAcentral is "bacterial SSU rRNA". It matches the Rfam family "Bacterial small subunit ribosomal RNA", at positions 383 to 1030 of the family's 1533-position model. Lineage: Bacteria; Bacillati; Actinomycetota; Actinomycetes; Mycobacteriales; Nocardiaceae. The record is from RNAcentral.